AUUGAACGCUGGCGGCAUGCUUUACACAUGCAAGUCGAACGGCAACAGGUUAAGCUGACGAGUGGCGAACGGGUGAGUAAUGCAUCGGAACGUGCCCGAUCGUGGGGGAUAACGCAGCGAAAGCUGCGCUAAUACCGCAUACGAUCUGAGGAUGAAAGCGGGGGACCGUAAGGCCUCGCGCGAUCGGAGCGGCCGAUGUCAGAUUAGGUAGUUGGUGGGGUAAAGGCUCACCAAGCCAACGAUCUGUAGCUGGUCUGAGAGGACGACCAGCCACACUGGGACUGAGACACGGCCCAGACGCCUACGGGAGGCAGCAGUGGGGAAUUUUGGACAAUGGGCGAAAGCCUGAUCCAGCAAUGCCGCGUGCAGGAAGAAGGCCUUCGGGUUGUAAACUGCUUUUGUACGGAGCGAAAAGGCUCUCUCUAAUACAGGGGGCUCAUGACGGUACCGUAAGAAUAAGCACCGGCUAACUACGUGCCAGCCGCCGCAGUAA
RNAcentral lists this ribosomal RNA (493 nucleotides) under uncultured bacterium. Its description in RNAcentral is "partial 16S ribosomal RNA". It matches the Rfam family "Bacterial small subunit ribosomal RNA", at positions 29 to 523 of the family's 1533-position model. The record is from RNAcentral.